AGGCUCUUCGUGUGCACACAGGUGCCGACACCGUUUCUACCAGAAGGCCUUCCCUGACGUAAGAGAAGUUGGUGUUCCAAAGCUCUCUACCAGGACGCUCCGGUGCUGGUCAUAUGUUGGCCAGUGCGCCAGAUACAGAGACAUCUACAAACUGGAUGGGCCAGGAGGUGACCGGGGCCACCCUGGGAAUCGUCAGUGUGGGCAGCAGUGGCUAUAAGGCAGCUCAGAGAGCCAGAGCGUUGGACACGAGGAUUCUCUACCGCAGCAGGAGAUGCAGGGGCCUCCCACUGCCUGUGGACCACAUUCGCAGCUGGUGAGAAACUCGUGGAGGCCUGAAGCAGGUGCCUGUGCUCUAACUUGGACUGGGACCUACUUCCCUUCAUCGAUGUCCUGUUGUCACCGAGCUAUGUCUGAUGGACCAUCACACUUGUACCAGGCUCUGGGGGUUCAAGGGACAAGCAGCUCCUGGCCUCAGGGAGCCCCAGUGUGGUAUGAAAUUCUUCAGGCCCCACGGCCUGCCCCCAGAGACCCCAGACAUGCCCACAGGGUUCCCAUGGGUCCUG
RNAcentral lists this long non-coding RNA (563 nucleotides) under Neogale vison (American mink). RNAcentral's name for it is "Neovison vison (American mink) lncRNA (ENSNVIG00000010969.1)". The record is from RNAcentral. Lineage: Eukaryota; Metazoa; Chordata; Mammalia; Carnivora; Mustelidae.